AGGAUAAUAGUUUAUUAAAAACAUUUAAAUUGCACUUAAAAAAUAUUAAUUUAAUUUAUCUUA
This 63-nucleotide transfer RNA is filed under the name Oides livida. Its description in RNAcentral is "tRNA-Ala". Lineage: Eukaryota; Metazoa; Arthropoda; Insecta; Coleoptera; Chrysomelidae. The record is from RNAcentral.